RNAcentral lists this ribosomal RNA (494 nucleotides) under uncultured bacterium. Its description in RNAcentral is "partial 16S ribosomal RNA". It matches the Rfam family "Bacterial small subunit ribosomal RNA", at positions 28 to 506 of the family's 1533-position model. The record is from RNAcentral.
GACGAACGCUGGCGGCGUGCCUAAUACAUGCAAGUAGAACGCUGAAGGAGGAGCUUGCUUCUCUGGAUGAGUUGCGAACGGGUGAGUAACGCGUAGGUAACCUGCCUGGUAGCGGGGGAUAACUAUUGGAAACGAUAGCUAAUACCGCAUAAGAGUAGAUGUUGCAUGACAUUUGCUUAAAAGGUGCAAUUGCAUCACUACCAGAUGGACCUGCGUUGUAUUAGCUAGUUGGUCGGGUAACGGCUUACCAAGGCGACGAUACAUAGCCGACCUGAGAGGGUGAUCGGCCACACUGGGACUGAGACACGGCCCAGACUCCUACGGGAGGCAGCAGUAGGGAAUCUUCGGCAAUGGACGGAAGUCUGACCGAGCAACGCCGCGUGAGUGAAGAAGGUUUUCGGAUCGUAAAGCUCUGUUGUAAGAGAAGAACGAGUGUGAGAGUGGAAAGUUCACACUGUGACGGGAUCUUACCAGAAAGGGACGGCGAACUACGU